RNAcentral lists this transfer RNA (76 nucleotides) under Marinospirillum sp. RNAcentral's name for it is "tRNA-Ile". It matches the Rfam family "tRNA". From Rfam's summary of the family: Transfer RNA (tRNA) molecules are approximately 80 nucleotides in length. Their secondary structure includes four short double-helical elements and three loops (D, anti-codon, and T loops). Further hydrogen bonds mediate the characteristic L-shaped molecular structure. tRNAs have two regions of fundamental functional importance: the anti-codon, which is responsible for specific mRNA codon recognition, and the 3' end, to which the tRNAs corresponding amino acid is attached (by aminoacyl-tRNA synthetases). tRNAs cope with the degeneracy of the genetic code in two manners: having more than one tRNA (with a specific anti-codon) for a particular amino acid; and 'wobble' base-pairing, i.e. permitting non-standard base-pairing at the 3rd anti-codon position. Lineage: Bacteria; Pseudomonadati; Pseudomonadota; Gammaproteobacteria; Oceanospirillales; Oceanospirillaceae. The record is from RNAcentral.
GGGCUGGUAGCUCAGCCGGUAGAGCAGGCGACUCAUAAUCGCUUGGUCAGGGGUUCAAGUCCCUUCCGGCCCACCA